CCUACGGGUGGCAGCAGUGAGGAAUAUUGGUCAAUGGGCGUGAGCCUGAACCAGCCAAGUAGCGUGAAGGAUGAAUGCCCUAUGGGUCGUAAACCUCUUUUAUAAAGGAAUAAAGUGUGGCACGUGUCCUCUUUUGUAUGUACCUUAUGAAUAAGGAUCGGCUAACUCCGUGCCAGCAGCCGCGGUAAUACGGAGGAUCCGAGCGUUAUCCGGAUUUAUUGGGUUUAAAGGGUGCGUAGGCGGGUUGUUAAGUCAGCUGUGAAAGUUUGUGGCUCAACCAUAAAAUUGCAGUUGAUACUGGCAGCCUUGAGUACGGUUGAGGUAGGCGGAAUGCGUGGUGUAGCGGUGAAAUGCUUAGAUAUCACGCAGAACUCCGAUUGCGAAGGCAGCCUGCUAAGCUACGACUGACGUUGAUGCACGAAAGUGUGGGUAUCAAACAGGAUUAGAUACCCUGGUAGUC
RNAcentral lists this ribosomal RNA (460 nucleotides) under uncultured bacterium. RNAcentral describes it as "partial 16S ribosomal RNA". It matches the Rfam family "Bacterial small subunit ribosomal RNA", at positions 338 to 795 of the family's 1533-position model. The record is from RNAcentral.